GACGAACGCUGGCGGCGCGCCUAACACAUGCAAGUCGAACGAGCGAGAGAGAGCUUGCUUUCUCGAGCGAGUGGCGAACGGGUGAGUAACGCGUGAGGAACCUGCCUCAAAGAGGGGGACAACAGUUGGAAACGACUGCUAAUAACGCAUAAGCCCACAGGUCGGCAUCGACCAGAGGGAAAAGGAGCAAUCCGCUUUGAGAUGGCCUCGCGUCCGAUUAGCUAGUUGGUGAGGUAACGGCCCACCAAGGCGACGAUCGGUAGCCGGACUGAGAGGUUGAACGGCCACAUUGGGACUGAGACACGGCCCAGACUCCUACGGGAGGCAGCAGUGGGGAAUAUUGCACAAUGGGGGAAACCCUGAUGCAGCGACGCCGCGUGGAGGAAGAAGGUCUUCGGAUUGUAAACUCCUGUUGUUGAGGAAGAUAAUGACGGUACUCAACAAGGAAGUGACGGCUAACUACGUGCCAGCAGCCGCGGUAAAACGUAGGUCACAAGCGUUGUCCGGAAUUACUGGGUGUAAAGGGAGCGCAGGCGGGAAGACAAGUUGGAAGUGAAAUCUAUGGGCUCAACCCAUAAACUGCUUUCAAAACUGUUUUUCUUGAGUAGUGCAGAGGUAGGCGGAAUUCCCGGUGUAGCGGUGGAAUGCGUAGAUAUCGGGAGGAACACCAGUGGCGAAGGCGGCCUACUGGGCACCAACUGACGCUGAGGCUCGAAAGUGUGGGUAGCAAACAGG
RNAcentral lists this ribosomal RNA (735 nucleotides) under uncultured bacterium. RNAcentral's name for it is "bacterial SSU rRNA". It matches the Rfam family "Bacterial small subunit ribosomal RNA", at positions 28 to 776 of the family's 1533-position model. The record is from RNAcentral.